This 853-nucleotide ribosomal RNA is filed under the name uncultured Actinomycetes bacterium. RNAcentral's name for it is "bacterial SSU rRNA". It matches the Rfam family "Bacterial small subunit ribosomal RNA", at positions 56 to 918 of the family's 1533-position model. The record is from RNAcentral. Lineage: Bacteria; Bacillati; Actinomycetota; Actinomycetes.
GGCGGGGAGAGUUUGGUUCUGUCGUCCGAUGAAUUGACGGGAAACUCAAAUGAAUUGACGGGGAAUGGGUGUUCUGCCUUGCCCUUGGGGAUAGGCCUGGGAAACUGGGUCUAAUACCGGAUAUGACCUCGGAAUGCAUGAACUGGGGUGGAAAGAUUUAUCGGUGCGAGAUGGGCCCGCGGCCUAUCAGCUUGUUGGUGAGGUAACGGCUCACCAAGGCGACGACGGGUAGCCGACCUGAGAGGGUGACCGGCCACACUGGGACUGAGACACGGCCCAGACUCCUACGGGAGGCAGCAGUGGGGAAUAUUGCACAAUGGGCGCAAGCCUGAUGCAGCGACGCCGCGUGCGGGAUGACGGCCUUCGGGUUGUAAACCGCUUUUGACAGGGACGAAGCGCAAGUGACUGUACCUGUAGAAUAAGGACCGGCCAACUACGUGCCAGCAGCCGCGGUAAUACGUAGGGUCCGAGCGUUGUCCGGAAUUACUGGGCGUAAAGAGCUUGUAGGCGGUUCGUCGCGUCGUUUGUGAAAACUUGGGGCUCAACCUUAAGCUUGCAGGCGAUACGGGCGGACUGGAGUACUUCAGGGGAGACUGGAAUUCCUGGUGUAUCGGUGAAAUGCGCAGAUAUCAGGAGGAACACCGGUGGCGAAGGCGGGUCUCUGGGAAGUAACUGACGCUGAGAAGCGAAAGCAUGGGUAGCAAACAGGAUUAGAUACCCUGGUAGUCCAUGCCGUAAACGGUGGGUACUAGGUGUGGGGCUCCUUCCACGGACUCCGUGCCGUAGCUAACGCAUUAAGUACCCCGCCUGGGGAGUACGGCCGCAAGGCUAAAACUCAAAUGAAUUGACGGGG